GGGGUCGUUUUUGGUUUUGACUGCAAGAUGAAAUGGUAAGUAAGCAUGUCGAGCAUUGUGAGUUGGCUCGUAAAUAUCGGCUCUCAAAUCGCUAACUGGCGAAAAUAAUUAUGCAAUGGCUGCAUAAUCUCGACUAAGUCGGAUUAUCUUAAUACUAACCCUUAGAGGGUUAGCACCAUUUACCUCACAACAGUUCUGUUUGUUAACGGUUGUAUUCGAGGUAUCAAAAUUUCAGACUAGUUAAUAAAUUGCUUCGGUUUAUUGGCGAAACUAAAGAAGCUUAAGCUUAAAGUUGGUGGCUUUUAUCCUGCUUUAAGUCUAACAAUUAAGUAAAAGCUACACAUGAAGAAAGCUUAUUAGUUCCUUGUUUGGACGAGGGUUCGAAUCCCUCCGACUCCACUU
This 402-nucleotide transfer-messenger RNA is filed under the name Bacteroidota bacterium. Its description in RNAcentral is "Bacteroidetes bacterium (groundwater metagenome) transfer-messenger RNA". It matches the Rfam family "transfer-messenger RNA". Rfam says of the family: Bacterial tmRNA, also known as 10Sa RNA or SsrA, is named for its dual tRNA and mRNA-like properties. Its role is to liberate the mRNA from a stalled ribosome. Lineage: Bacteria; Pseudomonadati; Bacteroidota. RNAcentral also lists the same sequence under 1 other name. The record is from RNAcentral.